Long non-coding RNA from Puntigrus tetrazona (Sumatra barb), 6183 nucleotides. RefSeq lists it as uncharacterized. NCBI's taxonomy places the organism in Eukaryota, Metazoa, Chordata, Actinopteri, Cypriniformes, Cyprinidae. The record is from RefSeq and is a predicted model, not a curated record. The transcript has 2 exons.
UGAUGGAAAUUGCUUUAAAUUUGCUGGCGUAUAGGUAAGUUACGUAGGAGGGGGGAUGCUGAAGUGUCUUCGCAAAUGCAAAGAACGUGUCGGCUGGGAACACUGGGAAUUGAAUUACAGGAAAGCAUAAUGCAAUCCUUGAUAUCUACCUACUCUGCCUAAUGAAAUCAGCAGAUGAAAGCACAGCUGGACCUUCUUGCAGGAUAUUACUGUGUGAGAAAGUGCUUAGCUGGCUGAGGGAGGGGGUGGAGAACGCAAGCACCUUUGGGAAGAGUACGUGCAUGUUCUCACACCAGUGCAUGUUCAUUCCACUUCAAGAAAACUUGUUUUAUUUAUACUUUUGUUGGGCGAUGGUGGGCAGCGCAAAAACGUUAGACUUGUCUAAGUUCUUUAUUUUCUUUAGUUCUCAUUUGUUCUUGUAGUAUUGGCUAGCAGUGGAUUAUAUAGUUGAUAUAUGAGUAUUUAUAAAUUAUAAUUAAUUGUAAUUUAUACACUACUGGUUAAAAGUUUGGAAUAAUUAAGCAAUUUAUUUUUUAUGCUUUCCAAGUCUAAAAGAGUAAUAAUGUGAGAUAAUAUUACAAUUUAAAAUGAUUGUUUUCUGUUUUAAUAUAUUUUAAAAUGUAUUUUAUUUCUGUGAUACUUCAGUGUCACAUGAUUCUCUGGGUAUUAAUCUAAUAUACAGAUUUGGUGAUGAAUAAACAUUUCUUAUUAUUAAUGUUAAAAAUGUGUAUUUGCUGCUUUAAUUUAAUUGCUGCUUUUUUUUGUAAAUAUUUUAAAAAAGUGGUAAUGCUUUUAUUUGCUGAAUCUGGGUACAAAAUUUCAAUUAUAGUAUCAAAAAUAUUUCUGUUUCAAAUCAGUGCCGUUUUAAACUUUCUAUUUAUUAAGAAAUAUUAAUAAAUAAAAUGUUAAGCAGCAGCAACUGUUUUCAACAAUAAUAAUCAUUUAUAAUAAUACACAUAUAACUGAAGGUUAGAAUAUGAGACGUCUUAGAAAUAAAUAAAUGCAAAAGAAAUAUUAUUCUAAAUGUUUGAAUGGUGUAUUAUUUUUCCAUACACCUACAGCUGAAAUGUAUUUGCUCAAAGGCGUCAUUUAAUGUGUGUAAGUUUUUAUGGGCUUUCGUGUAAUGGUGAUGGUGAAUAUGGCAAAAUCAUAUUUUUCAUCAUAUCAUACUUUUCAGAUUGAUCGCUUUUGUUGAUAUGUACAGCGAGGAGUUAAAUUGGGAUUUUAGUGUAAUGUUACCCUUUGUAAGAUUUCACAUGCCCAUUUCUACCUCAAAAAAUAUACAAUUACCAACACAAAACAGGAAAGAAAAAAGAACAAGAAAGUGUUUGGAUCAGCAGAUAUGAUAUUGCUUAUGAGGUAUUUAUUUGGUGUAAUACUGUGGUGCAGUACAGUAAAUGUAAUAUUAUACCACAGUCUUUAGGAUAUUUACUACGUUUCUCCGACCGCUCAGUUUGCUGGUUAUCCUUUUGGCAGAUAAGAGAGUCAUAUAUCAAAGAGAUAAUGGAAUGUGGCGUCUUCAGCGCAUCACAACGAAGGAGCGGUAUCACCUUAUGCAACUGACUUAUGCUUUUAAGACAAUUAUCUUUUUAGCUCCCUUAAUUGCAGGUAAAACAGCCGGCGCUGAGCUGCCCAUUAUUUUGGCAGAGGAAAGCAGCUGACUGCUACAUGAACACAUCUUUUAUUCACAGUUUCAGCUGCGCCACACAAUGGCAAGUAGGAGGAUGAGAGAAAACAUAAAAAAAACCCAUUUAAUCUGAUUCUUUCAUCUUUAGCUUACAGUAAUAGCUACAAACUGAAACAAUCUCGCUCUUGACUUCAAACGUGCAUUUGUCUUGCUGCAGCAACAUUUACACCAAACAGAUCACAUAAAAGUGGCCCCUUUCUUUACCAGUCGUUUUUAGGUUAUGGUAUGUAUUUGUGGCUUCUGAUUUUGAUUCUUGUUAACUUCUGAGGAUUGCAUCUAAUUUGAUCUUUUUAUUAUGAAGGUUAAAUUAGGUAUUUUUGUUUAUUCAUUUAUGAAGACCUAAUGAUGUUUGCAUGUGCAUUCUUCUGUCAAAUUAAUGACUCCGCUGAGAAGCACGGAGCACAACCAGUGUAGCCUGACUGAAAAUUAUUUCUAAGAUUCUGUUCUUUUCAGACAAAAAACUUAAAAUGCGAUCAGCAUAGUCUGACUGCCAAACAGAAAUGAUUCUUAAUAAUCAGCUAUUUUUGAGUCAAAAACAUGGAGCGCAACCAGGAUGGUCUGACUGGAAAUUAUUUCUAAGAAUCUGUUCUUUUAAGUCAAAAACAUAGAGCGCUACCAAUGUAGUCUGACUGCUAAACAGAAAUUCUUCUUAAGAAUCAGUUCUUUUUAGGGAGUCAAAAACAUGAUUCUUUUUGGUGACUUUUUAGUGCCAAACUAAUUACCCUUGUGAGUUUUUUUUUUUUUUUUUGUGAAUCAAAAACAUGCAGUGCAACCAGCUUUGUCUGACCAAAAAACAUAGAUCAUUAAAAAUCUUAAGAAUCAAUUCUUUUUAGUAAGUGCCAAAUCGUAGCAAGGUUAGUGCAGAAAUAAACCACGUGACAUCAGUGGUUCAACCAUAAUGUUAUGAAGCUGCGAAAAUCCUUGUUUUGCAGAAAAGAAUACAAAAUGACGACUUUGUUCAACGUUUGCUCUCAUCACCCUAUAGCGCCUUUUUGGGGAAUAUCACGUACAUAAACGAUGUACGCUGUUCUGUGUCACCAGCAUGUUGUUUAUCCUUUGAUCUGAACAUAAACAAUGUAUUCAUGUACAUAUGUUGCAUACAUUGUUUACAUAUGUGAUACUCUCCAAAAUGGGUGAUAUAGUGUGACAUGGAGAAGAACUGUUAAAUAGUUAUUUUUGUUUUCUUUGUGCAUAAAAAGUAUGCUCUUUGCUUUAUAACAAUACAGUUGAACUCCUUGCUCCUUGCUGCUUUCUGAGGCUUGUUGGAGCCUUGCUGUCUAUGGGAGGGUGCGCAAAGCUCUUGGAAUGAUCAAGGAUCAAAAAUACCUUAAUUUGUUCUCCGAAGAUAAACAAACGUCUUGGAAUGACAUAAGGGCCGGGCUGUCCCUGGAGGUCCUGUCCCAAAUCAGGCCCCCUGACCGGGAGAAGGAUGCACGCAGGGCUGACACAUGAGUGGUUGGCACAUGCCAGGCUGCCUGCUGGGAAUACCAUCCCUCCCCGCACAGCUCUCACGCCCUCAUCAUCCGCUCACCCGCUCGGCCUGACCGCCUCCUCCUCUGCUCAGGCUUUUGUUGAGGAAUUUUCUAUUUCCUAUAAAAUAGUUGCCAGCUAAUGGAUUUUUCCUUUAUUCAUUGGACGUGCUGAGCGAUGACUCUCUCGGCACUUCUUAAAGGUGAUUUACAAUUAAAGGGACUUGGGCUAUUUUCUAAUGAUUCUUUAGCUGAGUGGGUUUUAUUGCACUACUAAGCUGUGUUAUUAACAAACUGCCGCUUCGACUCGUCCCUGUGGGACAUGCUGAAAUGCUUUGUCCUUUUCUCUGCUAGUGAAUAAGGCCUUUCUCUCUCUUUUGAGGCAGUCCAAAGCUUUUACAGUGUCACGAGAGAGGGCCCUGAAUAGCGUGCAUUCCCGCAUGCAGCCGACAAACACACUUGUGGAAAAGCGUUCCUGCACAAACACAUGCCAUGAAAAGAACUCUUCGUAUUAAUCCAGGCAUAAAUAAACAAACAUGCAUUUAGCCACAUUUCUGUUUUUUCUUGCUUUCACUAUCUUUCUUUGAAAGCACAACUUAUUGUUAGUUGGAUGUUUUUUUUUUUUUAAUACAGGCGACGAUCCAAGACCUUCAGUUUAUUUUCAGUUGGGGAGAGGAGGCAGAAGCUUGUGCGCAAACGUUUAAGAAAAAAUAAUACUUAGUGUUCCAAUAUAUCUCCUGAAUUACUUGUAAUAGGAAGAAUUUAUAGCAAAAUAGCCAGUGUUUCCCAAAAAUGAAUGUUUUCUAAAAAAAAAAAUUAUCAGUGAAAAAGUAUAAUAUUAAUAAUGUAAGAAAAAAACUAUAAUAUUUAAAUAUGUGUUUGUGAUCUUCAUGUCUGAGACACUGAAAACACUGGAUCACGAGCUGCUCGUGUGUAAAAGAACACAAUGUUUCUUUAAAGCUUUUAGCCAUUUAAGCCACAAAGUUAUUUCACUUUUUUAUUUUGAUUAAUCAGACAGCCCUACUGGAGCCCUCUUAAUAGCAUCUACCAAUGCCUAUUAUUUUAUUAGCUGUCACUUACAGGCAUCACAUAAUAUAAUACUGUAUUUACAGUAAUUAACACAUCAUUAUGAGAUAUGGCAUGUUUUUGCUAGGUUACGGUUGAAAUUCCGCUGACAUGUUUGUAUGGUAAACCAACUAUUAUUUAAAAUGCCUUUUACAUUAAAACCAUGUGAGUCCAUAUGUGACUGAGUGUCUGUAUCAGGCGUCAGAUGCCCCUACUUUAUUAAAUGGAUGCAAUUCUCAGCGUAACAUAAGAAGCUAAAGUGUUCUGAAAGUGUUAUGGAUCGAUUUUCUCCCUUUUGAAUGCUGUUUUCUCAGACAGAGCUGCAUACGAAGAUGUUCCACAAGUCCGCCCAUGUUUUUCUCAUCGGGUUAUGCUAACAAGCACAUUACCUCGGUGUUGAGUUCAUGCAAUCUCAAUCUAUCACUUCGUCAUCAUCCUUGGCUAUACGUUCGACUGCAAUCAACUGCUGGACUUUUCAAAAGAGCAGCGGAUCUCAUUCUUGAGGAGGUGGACAUCUGGGAACCUAUUGACCAGCUUAAUGGUAGCACAUUAAAAGCAUCCUGGAUGACAUGGCCUCUCCAACACACAAGUGCCUUGUCUCCCCUUUAAGGCCUGUAAUGGAUAAGAGCUUGGCCAGAGUCUCAUGUCAGCAAUAUGAUUGCCUACUAUUUCCUCCUUGCACAAAGAGACUAGACUCACCUCCAGACAAAGUGCUCUUAAGGUCUAUAUAGCCCAAACCUUCUCCAUGCAUCAUGAUAAUGCAAACUAGCAUUGGCGGAAUUCUAUCCAUCCCAUCCAUUUCUACAUGACAGCAGAACAGGGCCAGACGGUGUUAGAGUACAGUGCGAGUUGUCACUGAUUUCUUCCCAUGCGUAGGUUCACCCGUUUUGUCUCGCCUUUUUUUGUCUGAUUAUGAUGUGUUGGCAGCGCUGCAGACACGCAGCCAGUAUAAUCAGCUAAAACAAUGGGCCGUAAUAGCUGAGAGCGUAGCCGCUCCUCUCAUCAGCUCUCAUUAUAAACACAGACGCUGUGUCGCUAACGUUAGACGGCACAGACGUGGAUCAAAGUGCAUGUCUGAUCGCAGAGAGCCAUCGAGCAGGCAGUGUUUUUGCGGUAUAUGAGGACAUCGUGCUCUGAAAGUUUAUAGAUGCAUGUAGGCUAUCGGCAGCACUUGUGGUCACUAGUGGUCAAUGACACGAAUGUCUGGUUGACUGGUGAUGUAUUCUCAAUCCCCUAUAUGACUGCACCAUGCAUAAGAGCCAAGCCUAAUGUUAGAAUUCUGAUACUUCCAUAAAAGCUAAUGUAUGGUAACAGUUGAAAAUGCAAGUUAAAUGUAGUUCAGAGAGCUUGAGCUAACGUAAUUCACCAUUUAUAUAAGCAAAUGCAUCUAGCAUUUGACCCUUUCAAUUGGGUCAACUGUCAUCAUGGCAAAACAGUUUGAAGAGAAUGUCGCUGAACAAUUUAGUUAAAGCAUUAGUUCACUUCUAGAGUAAAAAAAAAAUCCUCAUGUCAUCCAAUAUGUCUUUCUUCAGUCGAAAAGAAAUUAAGGUUUUUAAGAGAAGCAUUUCAGGAUUUUUUCCAUUUAAUGGACUUCAAAGGGACCCAAUGGGUUGAUGGGCCAAAUUGCAAUUUCAAUGCAACUUCAAAGGGCUCUACAUGAUCCUAACAAAGGAAUAAGGGUCUUAUAAAUAUAAAUAUAAAUAUAAAUGAUCACCAUAUGUGUAGGAGGAAGCACUGAUCCAGUGUUGUGAACGUGCAAAGUCAAAUGGCCUUUACAAAAAAGGUAAAACAACGAUUUUGGACCAUUUUAAAGUUGGAGGAGAAAAUGAGAUGGAGUUUUUCACCCUACCCUAGCUUUUUGAACCAAAAUACAAAGAUGAAGAAUUAACCAUCCAGCAUGAUUACUUAAUGCUUAAAGUCACGCAUGCAUCACAGAGCUGGUGUAAAAUGAGGAUUUGUUUA